Molecule: transfer RNA, 66 nt
Filed under: Phrynops hilarii (snake-necked turtle)
Lineage: Eukaryota; Metazoa; Chordata; Testudines; Chelidae
Description: tRNA-Cys
Source: RNAcentral
AGCUCUGUGGUGAAGUUCAUGUUAGAUUGCAAAUCUGAAGAUAUACUUUGAUAGGUAUCAGUGCUU